CCUACGGGAGGCAGCAGUGGGGAAUAUUGGACAAUGGGGGGAACCCUGAUCCAGCCAUGCCGCGUGUGUGAAGAAGGCCCUCGGGUUGUAAAGCACUUUCAGUGAGGAAGAACGCCUGGUGGUUAAUACCCAUCAGGAAAGACAUCACUCACAGAAGAAGCACCGGCUAACUCCGUGCCAGCAGCCGCGGUAAUACGGAGGGUGCGAGCGUUAAUCGGAAUUACUGGGCGUAAAGCGCGCGUGGGUGGCUUGAUAAGCCGGUUGUGAAAGCCCCGGGCUCAACCUGGGAACGGCAUCCGGAACUGUCAAGCUAGAGUGCAGGAGAGGAAGGUAGAAUUCCCGGUGUAGCGGUGAAAUGCGUAGAGAUCGGGAGGAAUACCAGUGGCGAAGGCGGCCUUCUGGACUGACACUGACACUGAGGUGCGAAAGCGUGGGUAGCAAACAGGAUUAGAUACCCGAGUAGUC
Molecule: ribosomal RNA, 465 nt
Filed under: Vreelandella stevensii
Lineage: Bacteria; Pseudomonadati; Pseudomonadota; Gammaproteobacteria; Oceanospirillales; Halomonadaceae
Description: partial 16S ribosomal RNA
Rfam family: Bacterial small subunit ribosomal RNA
Source: RNAcentral